GUCUCCCUCGGGCUGCUGCCGGUGCUGCGGGCGGAGGCGGCUCCGCCGCGUGUUGGGCGCUGCGAGCAGGGAGCGCUGCGGUAUCGCCGGCAUGACGGGGUUGCUGCCUGCGUUAGUGCUCGUGGCUCUUUGUGCCGUGACAGCGGAUGGAGCGGCGCUGAGCGGUAAAGCCAGAGAUGGCCGGGAGAAUGCCCAGCGCAGGGAGCGGGCGGGCUGUAUGCUUCGGAUGGCACAGGAUACUCAGAAAAUAUGUCUCCCUUAGAGUCCCACAGAAACGUUCUCAGUGCGAUCUCUAUCAAGUGCUAUGAGUCUUGAUCAAUUGGAGAAGAGCCCAAGAGAAAUUUUUCAUCCCUUGAUAUAAAAGGAAUCAGUGAAUUUUAACUUUGGAGUCCCCUAUGCUAAGGAUGCUCAGCUUACAGGUGAUGAAAUGUUCAGUAAUGUAUUUGCUGCAGCUCUGCUUACCCAAGCUUUGGGUUCCUUCUGUCCCACUGGGAGUUGCCCAAUUUGGUUGCAUCUGGUGAAAUUCACCCUGAGACCUUACAGAACCAGCUCCAACUACAUGAGAGCCAUUUGCAGUUCUCUCCAGACGCCUGGAGAAUGGGCGACGUUUCUGAGGAUCCGGCGAGCGUGCUUCUGUCAAAACUCAGUCUGUGAAAUUCCUGGGGAAAACCCUUCUGUGUCCUGAAGGGUUCAAACUCUGGUGAGGAUCCAGUUAUCAGGUGCUCACCUGGAUGGUUCCAGCUGCCAAAGGGAAAGACUCUCGUGUCCUUGUCGUCGGGCUCGGUGCUGUCCAAGAAGAUACGGGGACUAAAAAAAUCAUAAGAAGCAAAAUACGACUGCAGGGAAAAGAAGCUGGAGAGAACAGAAGAGCCCAGAACACGAUUUCCUCGGGCUGCCAUUUGUGUGCCAUCGGUACUCACCGUGGAAGGGAGCUGGGGAUUGUUGCAGCUGUUGGGAACGAACUGCUUCUCGUCACACAGAAAUGGAAUUGGGACGACGCCUCGGCCAGCCCCUCUGUGCCAUCGUCUCCUGAAUCUGCAGCAGAGCAGUUCCAGUCCAUCCGGGCACGUGUAAUCCAGUUCCUGAUGAUCUGAGCACACAGAGCAGCGCUCAGCUGCUGUGGGGGGCUCAGGGAGGGCAGAGUGUGCAUUGUCAUCUUCCUGAACCUACAGACAAAUCAAAGUGAGAAGCCACAGCGUGGAAAUCAGUCACAUAUAUGCUAAAUAAAACUUGCAGAUUUUUUUAAGAA
This is a long non-coding RNA of Melospiza melodia melodia, 1249 nucleotides long. RefSeq lists it as uncharacterized. Lineage: Eukaryota; Metazoa; Chordata; Aves; Passeriformes; Passerellidae. The transcript is spliced from 7 exons. The record is from RefSeq and is a predicted model, not a curated record.